This 115-nucleotide ribosomal RNA is filed under the name Gammaproteobacteria bacterium. Lineage: Bacteria; Pseudomonadati; Pseudomonadota; Gammaproteobacteria. RNAcentral also lists the same sequence under 1 other name. The record is from RNAcentral.
CCCGGUGGUAAUGGCAGGGGCUCCCCACCUGAUCCCAUCCCGAACUCAGUCGUUAAGUCCCCUUGCGCCGAUGGUACUACGUCUUAAGGCGUGGGAGAGUAGGACGCUGCCGGGU